RNAcentral lists this ribosomal RNA (253 nucleotides) under uncultured bacterium. RNAcentral describes it as "partial 16S ribosomal RNA". It matches the Rfam family "Bacterial small subunit ribosomal RNA", at positions 524 to 776 of the family's 1533-position model. The record is from RNAcentral.
UACGAAGGGGGCUAGCGUUGCUCGGAAUUACUGGGCGUAAAGCGCACGUAGGCGGCUUUCUAAGUCGGAGGUGAAAUCCUGGAGCUCAACUCCAGAACUGCCUUCGAUACUGGAGAGCUUGAGUCCGGGAGAGGUGAGUGGAACUGCGAGUGUAGAGGUGAAAUUCGUAGAUAUUCGCAAGAACACCAGUGGCGAAGGCGGCUCACUGGCCCGGUACUGACGCUGAGGAGCGAAAGCCAGGGGAGCAAACGGG